UGCCUCUCUAGGGAAAAAAAAAGGGGGGAGGGGAGGGAAGGGGAGAGAGAGAGAGAGAGAGGAGAGUAGUUAGAGAAUGACAGAGAGGAAAUGUCGCCAUAAAGCAAGCUCUAAUUCCUAGCUUUUGCUCUCUUUCUCCCUCUCUCUUUCUACUACUAGAAAAUUUGUCUCUAAGCUCUGCACUUUCAUGUAUAAAUUCGCAUUGUCUGUAUUUAUUUUUUCAGUUUUUCGGUGAGAAAAGCGAAAUCGGCACCGAAAAUAUUGGCAAACCCAUCUUUUUGGGGGUGAUAUUCAGCUGUUAGAUGCUUUCGUUUCGUUUUAUGAUCGAAUCUAUCCCCAAUUCUCAUUUCAAAAUCCCACAUUCUCUCUCGCUCCCAUUACCAAUUGUCUUCCCCUGCGAAGUUACUUCUUCUCUCAGUCUCUGCGUUUAAUUUUCUAUUUAGAAUUUCAAAUUUCAGCUCUUUUCGGUGUGACCGUUACUUAUUUGCUCGAUUUGUGCCAUUUCAUGUUUUACUUCUAAUUACUGUACCGGUCACCUACAAAAUUUUCAUCGAGACCCCCUUUCUUGUACUCAAUUUCCUAUAUUUUUCUUCCGUCAGGUGUUUUCUUUAUAUGUUGUCUCAAUUGCAUGAGAUUCCGCCUAAAAUUUUGAUAUUUCGUCUGCCGCGCUAUCGUUCACUGUAAUUUCCACGUUAUUUACGGGUCAAUUUAGCUGACGGAGGGCGGAAUUUAGGUUUUCUGUGGGAUUGAGAGUGAAGAUUUGUGCUGAAUGGCUGAUCGUUAUAGGUCGGUUUCGAUUGAAGAAUUGCCCUCACAUUUAAUUUUAGAAAUCUUGGCCUCAGGCCGGCUAAGUGCCGCUGAUCUUGUUUGCUUAGAGCUGACUUCGCGCACUUUCGGGGGUAGCCAAGGGUUGUUCCCCCUCAAGUUUCGGUCUUUGGUGGAUUUAGCGGCGUUCCAGCUAUGUGGGUCCCAUCCUGUAUAUGCUCCGAUGGGUUUGAAUGCACGGAAAGAGCUGUUUGAUCGUUGUGGUGGGAAUUGGAAGCGGGUAUUGAGGUUUUUGCAAUCCGUAGAGCAGUCCUCCGAUAUUGUCAAGACCUCAGCAGGCAAUAUGCAGAUAGCAACCGGAAGAUAUCACACAUUGCUGAUCAGUGGUUCAUCUGUAUACUCUUGUGGCUCCAGUUUGUGUGGUGUUCUCGGUCAUGGCCCAGAAACAACACAAUGUGUAGCAUUUACCCGGAUCAGUUUCCCAUCUUUGUCACAUGUGGUCCAAGUCUCAGCCUUCCACAAUCAUGCAGCUUUUGUCAUGCAGUCUGGGGAGGUUUUCACAUGUGGAGAUAAUUCAUCCUACUGUUGUGGGCAUAGAGAUACAGGCCGUCCCAUCUUCAGGCCUAGGCUUGUUGAAGCAUUGAAGGGAGUUCCUUGUAAACAGGUUGCUGCAGGGCUUAGUUUUACCAUGUUCCUUACAAGAGAAGGCCAUGUCUAUACAUGUGGGACAAACACACAUGGCCAGCUGGGUCAUGGUGAUUCUGUAGAUAGAGCAACACCCAAAAUUGUUGAACAUCUUGGAGGCAUUGGUUCUGUAGUACAGAUUGCUGCUGGUCCAAGUUAUGCCUUAGCUGUAACUGAUGAUGGAACAAUCUACUCUUUUGGGUUGGGCUCCAAUUUUUGUCUUGGUCAUGGAGAACAGCACAACGAGCACCAACCACGUGCAAUCCAGUCAUUUAGAAGAAGGGGUAUUCAUGUGGUUCGCAUCUCUGCUGGUGAUGAGCACGUAGUGGCACUUGAUUCGAAUGGAUUUGUUUAUACUUGGGGUAAGGGCUACUGUGGCGCAUUGGGCCAUGGAGAUGAGAUUGAUAAGACUACUCCAGAGCUCUUGAGCAGCCUUAAGAAUCACCUUGCUGUGCAGGUUUGUGCCAGGAAGAGAAAGACAUUUGUUCUGGUAGAUGCUGGUUCAGUUUAUGGGUUUGGGUGGAUGGGGUUUGGUAGCCUUGGCUUUCCAGACAGGGGAGCAUCUGAUAAAGUAUUGAGGCCUCGAAUCCUUGAAAGCUUAAGAGCUCAUCGAAUUUCUCAAAUAAGCACAGGUCUCUACCAUACUGUUGUACUUUCUACCAGGGGACAAAUACUUGGUUUUGGAGAUAAUGAAAGGGCACAACUUGGGCAUGACACAUUGAGGGGAUGCCCUGGGCCUACAGAAAUUUUUAUUCAAGAAAUGGUAGAAGAAGACGGCUUUGUUUCAUAAAGUGGGUGACUCUCGGUGACCUGCCUUCUUUGAAGAGGGAGUGAGAAUGAAAGUAGCUAAGUUGCGGAAGUGCGGCGGUUUGCAGGGGAGCUGGUUGGUUUGCGUGAAUUUCUUUUAGUAGUGUUUGUUCCUCUGUGUUUAUUCAAAUUGAUUUGUUAAGCGCAAAAUCAAUUGUUUGCCAACAGUCAACUUCUUGGUUGCAGAAUUAUUGUGUUGUAGGGUAAGGGUAAUUCUAUAUUCACCCCACCUCCAUAAGAGUUCAUGUCAUCCUCGAUGCGGCAUUUAAAUAAAUCUCAUUUAGGGGAUUUUUUUUUGUUUGCGAACUUAUUUUAUCAUUCCAAAGAAGGGAGACUUGUAAAAUAUUGAGAC
This is an RNA transcript of Malania oleifera, 2608 nucleotides long. It is a transcript of the gene named ultraviolet-B receptor UVR8, with no coding region annotated. The transcript has 8 exons. Lineage: Eukaryota; Viridiplantae; Streptophyta; Magnoliopsida; Santalales; Ximeniaceae. The record is from RefSeq and is a predicted model, not a curated record.